This 422-nucleotide ribosomal RNA is filed under the name uncultured bacterium. Its description in RNAcentral is "bacterial SSU rRNA". It matches the Rfam family "Bacterial small subunit ribosomal RNA", at positions 355 to 774 of the family's 1533-position model. RNAcentral also lists the same sequence under 1 other name. The record is from RNAcentral.
UGAGGAAUAUUGGUCAAUGGACGAGAGUCUGAACCAGCCAAAUCGCGUGAAGGAAGACUGCCCUACGGGUUGUAAACUUCUUUUGUACAGGAAUAAAAGACAUUACGUGUAAUGUAUUGCAUGUACUGUACGAAUAAGCAUCGGCUAACUCCGUGCCAGCAGCCGCGGUAAUACGGAGGAUGCGAGCGUUAUCCGGAUUUAUUGGGUUUAAAGGGUGCGCAGGCGGGAUUUUAAGUCAGCGGUGAAAUUUUCAGGCUCAACCUGAACACUGCCGUUGAAACUGGGAUUCUUGAGUAUGGAUGAAGUAGGCGGAAUUCGUUGUGUAGCGGUGACAUGCUUAGAUAUAACGAGGAACUCCGAUUGCGUAGGCAGCUUACUAAGCCAUAACUGACGCUCAAGCACGAAAGCGUGGGGAUCAAACA